RNAcentral lists this ribosomal RNA (483 nucleotides) under uncultured bacterium. RNAcentral's name for it is "partial 16S ribosomal RNA". It matches the Rfam family "Bacterial small subunit ribosomal RNA", at positions 30 to 507 of the family's 1533-position model. The record is from RNAcentral.
AUUGAACGCUGGCGGCAGGCCUAACACAUGCAAGUCGAGCGGAUGAAGGGAGCUUGCUCCUGGAUUCAGCGGCGGACGGGUGAGUAAUGCCUAGGAAUCUGCCUGGUAGUGGGGGAUAACGUCCGGAAACGGGCGCUAAUACCGCAUACGUCCUGAGGGAGAAAGUGGGGGAUCUUCGGACCUCACGCUAUCAGAUGAGCCUAGGUCGGAUUAGCUAGUUGGUGGGGUAAAAGCCUACCAAGGCGACGAUCCGUAACUGGUCUGAGAGGAUGAUCAGUCACACUGGAACUAAGACACGGUCCAGACUCCUACGGGAGGCAGCAGGGGGGAAUAUUGGACAAUGGGCGAAAGCCUGAUCCAGCCAGGCCGGGUGUGUGAAGAGGUCUUCGGAUUGUAAAGCGCUUUAAGUUGGGAGGAAGGGCAGUAAGUUAAUACCUUGCUGUUUUGACGUUACCAACAGAAUAAGCACCGGCUAACUUCGUG